Zootermopsis nevadensis is the source of this 1374-nucleotide long non-coding RNA. RefSeq lists it as uncharacterized. The record is from RefSeq and is a predicted model, not a curated record. Lineage: Eukaryota; Metazoa; Arthropoda; Insecta; Blattodea; Termopsidae.
AUUAAGGAUUACAGAUGCAUCUGGGCAGUGUUCGUCUGUUCGUGCGUGAACAAUGUUUUUUAUCACUUCACAUUAGGUUACUGUAAAAUGCUCCUUUUAAAAGUUACAUAUAAAAUGGAUUUCAAUUUAUAAAAUGAUGUUUACUGAUAAUUAAUUAUAGAAAAGUACGUUGUGAUAAUGGAUAGUGAAUGUGACGUAUUAUGAACUACAUCAGUAAAAUGGCAUCACGGAAGAAAUCACAGGCGAGAGAACGCGUUUACAAAUGCCUGUGCAAGAGAAGGCACAUAAGAUGGAAAAUUGAUGUAGCGCGCUUGGGAAAGGACGAGACGUUACGGUGCUACACACUUUACGUUAUCAAUAACAUAAAUUGUUGUGACAUUGGACGAUAUUACCACGCUGACACGGCGGCGAAAGGGAGGAGGCGUAGGGGAAGCGGUAGCGAAUGAGACACGGGAACUACAGGAAACACGAAAUGACCAACCAGGAAAACCACGACAAUUGGCGAUCUGUCAGAACAAAUUCCUAUUCUAACACAUUCACUAUUUAAACCCAAACGGAAAGUUCUUGGAAGUACUAAUGAAGCCUGCUUUUCCUUCAUGCGUUACAAUCUACGUGCUAAAGCUAGCUUGUAGGUAUUUUAUCGAUGGAUAAUGACAGAUUACUGUUCGUGAACCAUUUAUACCUAUCAUAUUCAUUAUUACAGAUUCCGAAUACGUUUAAUUUAUCAGAUAUGACGACAAAGGUUUGCACCUAGCCGUGUAUAUAAUUGUUUACUUAUAAAUAAUAUUUUAUGAAGAUCUUACUGGUAUAUUUAUGUUUUUUUAUCUACAUUACAUGAGAAUAUCAGAACAUAUGCACUGUGUCUGAUUUCUUUCAAAUUUAGUCUUACAACAUUUACUUCUGAAAUACAAACUGGACUUACUUUUGUUUCCAGUGAUGUAAUUCAGUUAUUUCUAGCCCAUUCAUGAAAUUUUUACGUGUUGUUUGUGCUCUGUAACAAAAAUACAUGACCACAUAAUAAGAAGGUAAGUCAUUACCGGUAGAAUGCGGCUUUGUCUCGUAAAUUAUUUCCACGGAACAAUUUUAAAUUAAGGUUUAAAAGAUGCACUAAGAAUUUCUUAGUAGAGUUUGUAACGGUAGAGCAUUGACUUGGGGUGAGAAAGUGUUCCGGCCAUUAACAGUGAUGUCAGUAAGCUGCAAGUUUCUAUUAAAUUCUAAAUUACAAAACCAGAACUGGAACUUAAGUGUAAUUUCACACUGACAAGAUUUAAUAUAGAACAGUAUUUAAUAGAGGAAGUUUAUUCCAAGUGUAAUUUCAGUUGUUUCAAGUGCAGUAACAAAUAAUAUAAUUAAUUGUAAAGAGUUUUUAAUAAA